CCCGGCCCCGGCCCGCCCGGAGGACGCGCCCAGUGCGCAGGAGUGGAAGCGGCAGCUACGAGAGGGCAGUUCUGACCUGCUUCGUUAGGAGGAAGUGGGAAGCGAAUCCGAGAAGGGGUGUACCUCCAGGCGGGCCCGCAGCAGGGGCCUGCCCCUUGGCGGGAGGUGGAACUGUGCCGGAGGCUGCAGGCUCUGUGGGGGCUGGCCAUAGUGGGGGCAGGCAGCGGCGGCAGGCAGCGGCGGCAGGCAGCGGCGGCAGGCAGCGGCGACGGUUGCUCACCAACGCCCACAGACGCUUGCAUGAAGGCAAAGGGGCGUCGCUCUCGUUCGCGUGCUGCCAGCUCCACGCUUUGGCCGUUUCCAAGCUGCAGAACAUUUUUAUGAUGUUGGGGAUGUACAGAGCCCUGGUCAACGUCUAGAGAUUUGCUAUCCUUUUAAGUUACGUGAUUGCCAAAUGUUAGACAUGGAAAUAGUUCAGGUAAAGUGUUACUUGGUUUCAUAAUUUUUACAAUAUCUAAAACCAGUUACCAACCUACACUGGAUAUGAAUGCAUUGUUUUUUGUUAACCCUCCGGGGGCAGUGGCCUUGACCCUGACCCCAGGUGGUCUUGACCCCUCCCCAGGGGUGGGUCUGAACACUACCAGGUGUGGUGGUUUAGUCCACUCCCACUUCCUGUCUAAGAUCCAUAAAAGCAGGAGGAUUUCCGGUUCUUUCUCUCUCUCUCUCCUGCCUUCCUGUUCACCAGCAAUCACCAUUCCUGUUUGUUGCUGCUCUUUGUUUCACUAUGUGGCAUUCACCCAGAAGGCGGACAAACUCAUUUCCAUCAAAUCUGGUUGUAUAUUUACGUGUUUUGUAUCUUGUUUUGCCUUCCCAUUGUUAAACUUUUCUUCUUUUAACCUCCAAAUCACAGUGAGAUUAUUUGGAUCUGCAUACCUUUUCUUGCUCUCUCCAUCUAAUCCCUUUUCUUUGGGAAAGAAGGGGGGAAAGGGAAGGGCAUCCUAUAAAUUGUUAUUGGUUCUAUGAACUAUAUUUGAGUCUCUGGGAAAUUUAAAUUACAACCGAGACAUCAUCUGUUCUAACCUAGUGCCGUCUCUUCUGCUGAAGGAAUGGUUCUCUGUUCCCAAAUAAUUUCUGCUGUUACUGAGGGUUUUUUUCAUAAAAUUCUUAGCAAUCUGUAAUGCAUAGCAUUAAAUAUUAGAGUAUCUCCUAGCAUAGCAGCGUGCAGCUGAUGUAUUUAGCGCACCUUUAAAUCCUUGUUGAGUUAAUUUAAUACAGAAAUCUUUAUCGAUCUAACAGAUUCCUACUGGAUUUCAGUGAGCCUGUUUAUCAGUGAGCAGGUGUGGUUCUGUUUGUCAAAGGACUGAGAACACAAUGACUGAUAGGAGUUACUACUAUACAGAUGUCUGUUUAAAACCCAUUUAAAUGGAAGAAUUCUUUCAGUUCUUGCAGUGUAAUGCACAGGCACUGAAAAUACUGUGCAAACCUGUCGUCAUUAUUUGACUUCUUAGGGUUUGCCAUGGUUUCAAGGUUUAUUAGCCUUUACAGAUCUGCCCUAUUAUAAGGCUUUAGCAUCAAGAGAAGCAUGGCCAGCAGGGCAAGGGAGGUGAUUCUCCCCCUUUGCUCUCAUCAGACCCCACCUGGAGUACUGUGUACAGUUCUGGAGUCCCAAACACGGGAAGGACAUCGAAUUGUUAGAGUGAGUCCAGAGGAGGGCCGCAAGGAUGAUCAUAGGCUGGAGCAACUCUGCUAUGUGGACAGGCUACAAGAGUUGGGGCUCUUCAGCCUGGAGAAGAGAAGAUUUCAAGGAGACCUUAUAGUGGCCUUCCAGUAUCUGAAGGGGACCUGCAGGAAGGCUGGGGAGGGACUAUUUACAAGGUCUUGUAAUGAUAGGACAAGGGGUAAUGGGUUUUAAACUGGCAGAAAGAAGAUUCAGACUAGAUGUUAGGUAAGGGUGUUUUCCAGUGAGGGUGGUGAGACACUGGCACAGGUUGCCCAGGGAGGUUGUGGAUGCCCCCUUCUUGGAGGUGUCCAGGUGUGAGAGUCUAAAUCCUCUCUCUUGUUCAUCAACAAAGAUAAAGAUUGCCUUUGUUAACCUCUGGAACUCAGACUAGGUGUUUGGUCAAAAGCUCAGGGAUGCAAAUCAAUGGACAAUGCCUUGGAAAUUCCUGGACCUCAGCCUGGCUUCAGUGCCCAGGAUGCUUAUAUCUUAUGUCAGCUACGUCAAAGAGAAUAGGCUUCUGUGUAUUCAGGGUAUGGACAGGUGCAGCCAGGGAGGGGGUGGAGGCCCUCCCCCUGUGGCGUUGGACCCCUGUGAAUGCAUGAGAAUACACAGGGAGAUUUCCUGGGGAGCUGCACCUGGAUGUCGACCUAAAAAAACGUAUAAAAGACAGGAGCAAUACCUGCCGAAAGUGUGGACUUCCAGCAGAAUACCAUGGGUGCACCUCCACCACACCAAGUGGACCUCCACCAGACUACCAAAGCUGCACCACCACCAGAAGAACCCCUGACAAACUCCACAGAAGAUCAUCCCUGGGCCACGCACCCGUCUCUCUCUCCCCCCCAUCUGCAACUGAGGGUAAAAUGAUCCCAGCUCUUUUCCUUCUCUUUAUCUCUCUCCAUCUGUUUUGUCCAACUUUAUCCUUUAAUAAAUAAUUUUGUGGUGA
Long non-coding RNA from Pogoniulus pusillus (Red-fronted tinkerbird), 2663 nucleotides. RefSeq lists it as uncharacterized. The transcript is spliced from 2 exons. The record is from RefSeq and is a predicted model, not a curated record. Lineage: Eukaryota; Metazoa; Chordata; Aves; Piciformes; Lybiidae.